This 1271-nucleotide ribosomal RNA is filed under the name Cronobacter sakazakii. RNAcentral's name for it is "partial 23S ribosomal RNA". It matches the Rfam family "Bacterial large subunit ribosomal RNA", at positions 911 to 2166 of the family's 2925-position model. The record is from RNAcentral. Lineage: Bacteria; Pseudomonadati; Pseudomonadota; Gammaproteobacteria; Enterobacterales; Enterobacteriaceae.
UGUUUCGGCUAGGGGGCCAUCCCGGCUUACCAACCCGAUGCAAACUGCGAAUACCGGAGAAUGUUAUCACGGGAGACACACGGCGGGUGCUAACGUCCGUCGUGAAGAGGGAAACAACCCAGACCGCCAGCUAAGGUCCCAAAGUCAUGGUUAAGUGGGAAACGAUGUGGGAAGGCCCAGACAGCCAGGAUGUUGGCUUAGAAGCAGCCAUCAUUUAAAGAAAGCGUAAUAGCUCACUGGUCGAGUCGGCCUGCGCGGAAGAUGUAACGGGGCUAAACCAUGCACCGAAGCUGCGGCAGCGACACUAUGUGUUGUUGGGUAGGGGAGCGUUCUGUAAGCCUGUGAAGGUGUGCUGUGAGGCAUGCUGGAGGUAUCAGAAGUGCGAAUGCUGACAUAAGUAACGAUAAAGCGGGUGAAAAGCCCGCUCGCCGGAAGACCAAGGGUUCCUGUCCAACGUUAAUCGGGGCAGGGUGAGUCGACCCCUAAGGCGAGGCCGAAAGGCGUAGUCGAUGGGAAACAGGUUAAUAUUCCUGUACUUGGUGUUACUGCGAAGGGGGGACGGAGAAGGCUAUGUCGGCCGGGCGACGGUUGUCCCGGUUUAAGCGUGUAGGCUGACUUUCCAGGCAAAUCCGGAAGGUUAAGGCUGAGGCGUGAUGACGAGGCACCACGGUGCUGAAGUGACAAAUGCCCUGCUUCCAGGAAAAGCCUCUAAGCAUCAGGUAACAUCAAAUCGUACCCCAAACCGACACAGGUGGUCAGGUAGAGAAUACCAAGGCGCUUGAGAGAACUCGGGUGAAGGAACUAGGCAAAAUGGUGCCGUAACUUCGGGAGAAGGCACGCUGACAUGUAGGUGAAGCCCCUGCGGGUGGAGCUGAAGUCAGUCGAAGAUACCAGCUGGCUGCAACUGUUUAUUAAAAACACAGCACUGUGCAAACACGAAAGUGGACGUAUACGGUGUGACGCCUGCCCGGUGCCGGAAGGUUAAUUGAUGGGGUUAUCGCAAGAGAAGCUCCUGAUCGAAGCCCCGGUAAACGGCGGCCGUAACUAUAACGGUCCUAAGGUAGCGAAAUUCCUUGUCGGGUAAGUUCCGACCUGCACGAAUGGCGUAAUGAUGGCCAGGCUGUCUCCACCCGAGACUCAGUGAAAUUGAACUCGCUGUGAAGAUGCAGUGUACCCGCGGCAAGACGGAAAGACCCCGUGAACCUUUACUACAGCUUGACACUGAACAUUGAGCCUUGAUGUGUAGGAUAGGUGGGAGGCUUUGAAGCGUG